This 646-nucleotide ribosomal RNA is filed under the name uncultured Actinomycetes bacterium. Its description in RNAcentral is "bacterial SSU rRNA". It matches the Rfam family "Bacterial small subunit ribosomal RNA", at positions 232 to 877 of the family's 1533-position model. Lineage: Bacteria; Bacillati; Actinomycetota; Actinomycetes. The record is from RNAcentral.
CGCGGCCUAUCAGCUUGUUGGUGGGGUGAUGGCCUACCAAGGCGACGACGGGUAGCCGGCCUGAGAGGGUGUCCGGCCACACUGGGACUGAGAUACGGCCCAGACUCCUACGGGAGGCAGCAGUGGGGAAUAUUGCACAAUGGGCGCAAGCCUGAUGCAGCGACGCCGCGUGGGGGAUGACGGCCUUCGGGUUGUAAACCUCUUUCACCAUCGACGAAGGCCCGCUUUUGGUGGGUUGACGGUAGGUGGAGAAGAAGCACCGGCCAACUACGUGCCAGCAGCCGCGGUAAUACGUAGGGUGCGAGCGUUGUCCGGAAUUACUGGGCGUAAAGAGCUCGUAGGUGGUUUGUCGCGUUGUUCGUGAAAUUCCCUGGCUUAACUGGGGGCGUGCGGGCGAUACGGGCAGACUGGAGUACUGCAGGGGAGACUGGAAUUCCUGGUGUAGCGGUGGAAUGCGCAGAUAUCAGGAGGAACACCGGUGGCGAAGGCGGGUCUCUGGGCAGUAACUGACGCUGAGGAGCGAAAGCGUGGGGAGCGAACAGGAUUAGAUACCCUGGUAGUCCACGCCGUAAACGGUGGGUACUAGGUGUGGGUUUCCUUCCUUGGGAUCCGUGCCGUAGCUAACGCAUUAAGUACCCCGCCUGGG